This is a long non-coding RNA of Macadamia integrifolia, 1290 nucleotides long. RefSeq lists it as uncharacterized. The record is from RefSeq and is a predicted model, not a curated record. The transcript is spliced from 2 exons. NCBI's taxonomy places the organism in Eukaryota, Viridiplantae, Streptophyta, Magnoliopsida, Proteales, Proteaceae.
UAAUCCAUCCAAAUCCAACCAUGUUUUUCUCUCUUUGGUCUUCACCAAUAAACAGAUGAUGAAACUUAAAACAUGAGACAGAGGGAGAGAGAGGGGUGUAAUAUGUAAAGACAUUUAUAAUCUGUGAGGGCACACAGAUCAAUGGGAGAUCAUGCGUAGCCAUCUGGGCUAGUCAGCCCGUCUUUUCUUGUCAGCUUAUAUCAGAACGCAGGGACAUGCAAGGGGAAAAGAUUUUUUUCUCCCUUGAUCAAAUCACAUUUGUUUUUUUCCUUAACAUAUAGGUUACAGCCUACCCAAGUGACAACCAGCUUCCUACCGCAAGUUGUUUGGAUAGGUUUUCACAGGGUGUGUGUGUGUGUGUGAUAGAGAGAGAGAGAGAGAGAGAGAGAGAGAGAGAGGUGGACGAUGACAAAUCAUCCACUGUAAUGGCGAACCGAGAUCGAGAGAUUCUUAUACCAACCACUCUUUGAUUCUGCUGACAAUGAUGCUUCUUCUAAACCCUCUUCCUCAUCUGUUGCUUUGUCUCAUCACUCCAGUUGAGAGAACAUUGUGGAGAAGAUCUGGGUUGAUGUAGGGACGAUGCGAUUUUGAGGGAAGAAGGAAUCUGGUUACAAGGAGAAACCCUAAACUUAGAACUCUCACAAUCUCUCAUCUCUUUCAUUUCUCCCUCAUAAUGAUUGAAUCAGAACAAUACCUAUUUGGAAUUGUUGAAUUUUUUAGCCGUAUAAAUGAAAGGUGGCGCUUUUUUGAUAAGCCGGCAAAGCUGCAAGGGUUGAACUCCAAAAUCUUGAAUCUUUUUAGCCUUAAGGAUUGGCCUCCGGCAACAAUCAAUUUCAGAGUAAGACUCCUUUCUUGCAUUAUCAAUGCUAUCACACACUACUAUGUCACAAUGAGAUAAUGUGGAUAGUAUAAAAAUCGAGUCUUACACUGAAAUUGAUUGUUGCAUGAACUCAAUUCCAUUGAGCCUCAAAGGUUUCAUUGUGAGUCUUGAAAAUAAAGAAUCAUUCUCAGAUUUUGGAGAUCAACUUUGCAGCUUUGCUUUCUUGAUUGAUCAAGAAAGCUUCAACUUUCAUUUAUCAGAUCUUUUGGCUCAUAAAUUCCUAUGAGCAUAAGGUCCAAAUAGCUAUUGCUCUGAUUAGAUGAUCAAGCAUGAGGAAAUGUACUUUCUAUUUUAAGUUUCAAGUUAUGAUACUAUCUUUAUGUUCUCUGUAAUGGCUUUGAAAAGAGGGAAAUGUCAUUUGAAUAAUAUUGUUUUUUUCUAAUAAAACAGUAUGUGUUUAUUGAAUCUCA